UACGUAGGGACCGAGCGUUGUCCGGAUUUAUUGGGCGUAAAGAGCGUGUAGGCGGCCAGACAGGUCCGUUGUGAAAACUCGAGGCUCAACCUCGAGACGUCGACGGAAACCGUCUGGCUAGAGUCCGGAAGAGGAGUGUGGAAUUCCUGGUGUAGCGGUGAAAUGCGCAGAUAUCAGGAAGAACACCUAUGGCGAAGGCAGCACUCUGGGACGGUACUGACGCUGAGACGCGAAAGCGUGGGGAGCGAACAGG
This 253-nucleotide ribosomal RNA is filed under the name uncultured bacterium. RNAcentral's name for it is "partial 16S ribosomal RNA". It matches the Rfam family "Bacterial small subunit ribosomal RNA", at positions 524 to 776 of the family's 1533-position model. The record is from RNAcentral.